CUUUGCGCGGUUCGGUUAUCUUUGUUCAGUCUGUCAAAGAACGGGGCGUGGGAACAUGCGCCAAGGCCAUGCGCAGUGAAUGUGUUUGUAGUACAGAAAACAACCCUCUGCACUGCCUCGCUGAACCUUCCAGCACAACAGGGAAAGCACUGAUGUUUGGAGGCGGUAAUAGCUGCAUUUCAAAGUGCUCAUCCGGCGGCCAUCCUCUCUUCCUUUGAGAAACGUUUCCUGAGAGCCCAGUUUAAGGUCAGAGCACACGUGGUGUUUCAAGUCAAAUGCUAACAGCGUGGACUUCCUUUGAAGCGGCCUGGAAAGGUGGACAGGAAGGGGACCUCCGAAAUUUGGGCUCAGAAAACUGCUCUACCUCUUUUCUAUUUUCAGUGAAAAAAAAAGAAAAGAGAGAGACGGAUGCUCCUAUUGAGGUCAAAUAACCACGCAUAGUGAGUGAUGCCCUUAAUUCUGCAGGUGGACUGGUACAGGAAGGACUUCCGCAAUGUAGCCUCUGAAAGCAACAAUCGUCUCUGAAGUGUCACUCAAAAAAUAAAAUGCUCCUAUUAAGCUGUAAUUAGGAACACAGUACUCCGGAAAGGCCCCGUUUAUUCUGCAGGUGGACUGGGGCAAGAAAAAGGACCUCCGAAAUUAAGCCACAGAAAACACCAAGAGAAGUGUUACCCCGUUUGAUGUUCAGUCAAAAAAUAAAAUACUCCAAUUGAGCUUUUA
Ornithodoros turicata is the source of this 720-nucleotide long non-coding RNA. RefSeq lists it as uncharacterized. Lineage: Eukaryota; Metazoa; Arthropoda; Arachnida; Ixodida; Argasidae. The record is from RefSeq and is a predicted model, not a curated record. The transcript has 3 exons.